This 433-nucleotide ribosomal RNA is filed under the name uncultured bacterium. RNAcentral describes it as "partial 16S ribosomal RNA". It matches the Rfam family "Bacterial small subunit ribosomal RNA", at positions 29 to 507 of the family's 1533-position model. The record is from RNAcentral.
AGCGAACGCUGGCGGCAGGCCUAACACAUGCAAGUCGAACGAACUCUUCGGAGUUAGUGGCGGACGGGUGAGUAACACGUGGGAACGUGCCUUUUGGUUCGGAAUAACUCAGGGAAACUUGUGCUAAUACCGAAUGUGCCCUUCGGGGGAAAGAUUUAUCGCCAUUAGAGCGGCCCGCGUCUGAUUAGCUAGUUGGUGAGGUAACGGCUCACCAAGGCGACGAUCAGUAGCUGGUCUGAGAGGAUGACCAGCAACACUGGGACUGAGACACGGCCCAGACUCCUACGGGAGGCAGCAGUGGGGAAUCUUGCGCAAUGGGCGAAAGCCUGACGCAGCCAUGCCGCGUGAAUGAUGAAGGUCUUAGGAUUGUAAAAUUCUUUCACCGGGGACGAUAAUGACGGUACCCGGAGAAGAAGCCCCGGCUAACUUCGUG